ACGCUCGACACCUACGGGAGGCAGCAGUGGGGAAUAUUGGGCAAUGGGCGCAAGCCUGACCCAGCAACGCCGCGUGAAGGAAGAAGGCUUUCGGGUUGUAAACUUCUUUUGUCAGGGACGAAGCAAGUGACGGUACCUGACGAAUAAGCUCCGGCUAACUACGUGCCAACAGCCGCGGUAAUCUGAGCGGGCUGGCAAGGC
Molecule: ribosomal RNA, 201 nt
Filed under: uncultured bacterium
Lineage: Bacteria
Description: partial 16S ribosomal RNA
Rfam family: Bacterial small subunit ribosomal RNA
Source: RNAcentral